RNAcentral lists this unclassified non-coding RNA (200 nucleotides) under soil metagenome. Its description in RNAcentral is "partial contains internal transcribed spacer 2 and large subunit ribosomal RNA". The record is from RNAcentral.
GUUCGAGCGUCAUUACAACCCUCAAGCUCUGCUUGGUAUUAGGCCUCGCCUACUAGGCGGGCUAUAAAAUCAGUGGCGAUGCCAUUCGGCUUCAAGCAUAGUAAUACUUCUUGCUUAGAAGUCCGGAUGUUAUCUGCCAAUAACCCCAAUAUUUUUUAAAGGUUGACCUCGGAUCAGGUAGGGAUACCCGCUGAACUUAA